UAAAACUCAAAGGAAUAGACGGGGACUCGCACAAGCGGUGGAGCAUGAGGUUUAAUUCGAUAGUAAGCGAGGAACCUUACCAGGGCUUGAAAUUCUAACGAAUCUCGUUGAAAGGCGGGAGUCUUUUUAAAGACGUUAGGACAGGUGCUGCAUGGUUGUCGUCAGCUCGUACUUUGAAGCGUUCCCUUAAGUGGGGUAACGAGCGCAACCUCUAUUGUCUGUUAUAAGUGUCAGGCAAGACCGCCCCGCCCCAAGAUUGGAAUUACGAAGCAUGAAUUAUGAAUUAUGGAAACGUACGAAAUAUUAAUUUUGUCAAAAAGAAAGUAGGUCCAUUAUUUAUUAUUCUUAAUUCAUAAUUCUCGUUUUUGGGCGGGGAGGAAGGUGGGGAUGACGUCAAAUCCGCAUGGCCCUCUGAUGCCCUGGGCUACACUCAUGCUACAAUGGCCGGUACAAUGGGUUGCCAAAGCGUAAGCUGGAGCUAAUCCCAUCAAAGCCGGUCUCAGUUCGGAUUGAGGGCUGAAACUCGCCCUCAUGAAGCUGGAAUCGCUAGUAAUCGCGCAUCAGCCACGGCGCGGUGAAUACGUUCUCGAGUCCUGUACUCACUGCCCGUCACUGCAGGGGAGCCGGGAGUAGGCGAACUCUGACUUUAGUUGGAGCAGUCUAAGCUUGGUAACAUGGCAGAAGUCGUAACAAGGCACGCGUAGCGGAAGCUGUGCGUGGAACA
This 724-nucleotide ribosomal RNA is filed under the name Candidatus Wolfebacteria bacterium CG03_land_8_20_14_0_80_40_12. RNAcentral describes it as "partial 16S ribosomal RNA". It matches the Rfam family "Bacterial small subunit ribosomal RNA", at positions 895 to 1525 of the family's 1533-position model. Lineage: Bacteria; Candidatus Wolfeibacteriota. The record is from RNAcentral.